Molecule: ribosomal RNA, 554 nt
Filed under: Zeugodacus cucurbitae (melon fly)
Lineage: Eukaryota; Metazoa; Arthropoda; Insecta; Diptera; Tephritidae
Description: partial 16S ribosomal RNA
Rfam family: Bacterial large subunit ribosomal RNA
Source: RNAcentral
UCGCCUGUUUAUCAAAAACAUGUCUUUUUGAGUUAUUUUUAAAGUCUGACCUGCCCACUGAAUUUUUAAAUGGCCGCAGUAUUCUAACUGUGCAAAGGUAGCAUAAUCAUUAGUCUUUUAAUUGAAGGCUGGUAUGAACGGUUGGACGAGGUAUAAGCUGUUUCAUAUAAAUUUAUAAUAGAAUUUUAUAUUUUAGUCAAAAAGCUAAAAUAUUAUUAAAAGACGAGAAGACCCUAUAAAUCUUUAUAUUUUUUUUUAUUUAAAUUUUUUGGAUUUAUUUUAUUUUUAUAAUGGAGAAUAUUUUGUUGGGGUGAUGUUAAAAUUUAAUGAACUUUUAAUUAUAAAAAUCAUUAAUUUAUGAGUUAUUGAUCCAUUAGUAGUGAUUAUAAGAUUAAGUUACUUUAGGGAUAACAGCGUAAUUUUUUUGGAGAGUUCAUAUCGAUAAAAAAGUUUGCGACCUCGAUGUUGGAUUAAGAUAUAAUUUUAGGUGUAGCCGCUUAAAUGCUAAGUCUGUUCGACUUUUAAAUUCUUACGUGAUCUGAGUUCAGACCGGA